AAACCAACAGGGAUUGCCUCAGUAACGGCGAGUGAAGCGGCAAAAGCUCAAAUUUGAAAUCUGAGGCUCUCAGCCCCCGAGUUGUAAUUUGAAGAUGGUGUUCUGGUGCCGGCGCCCUGUCUACGUUCCUUGGAACAGGACAUCGCAGAGGGUGAGAAUCCCGUGUGGCGGGGCGGCCUGGCUCCGUGUAGAGCGCCAUCGACGAGUCGAGUUGUUUGGGAAUGCAGCUUAAGUGGGUGGUAAAUUCCAUUAAAGCUAAAUAUUGGCGAGAGACCGAUAGCGAACAAGUACAGUGAUGGAAAGAUGAAAAGAACUUUGAAAAGAGAGUGAAAAAGUACGUGAAAUUGUUGAAAGGGAAGGGUAUUGGAUCAGACUUGGUGCUGUGCGAAUAGCGGCUCUUCCUGGGCCGCCCCACUCGCACUCCACCGGGCCAGCAUCGGUUUGGGCGGCAAGACAAUGGCGGGGGAACGUGGCACUGCUCUCGGGCAGUGUGUUUAUAGCCCCCGCUGAUGUUGCCUGCCUAGACCGAGGACUGCGGCUUCUGCCUAGGAUGCUGGCGUAAUGAUCCAACACCGC
This 576-nucleotide ribosomal RNA is filed under the name Williopsis jadinii. RNAcentral's name for it is "eukaryotic LSU rRNA". It matches the Rfam family "Eukaryotic large subunit ribosomal RNA", at positions 62 to 648 of the family's 3401-position model. Lineage: Eukaryota; Fungi; Ascomycota; Saccharomycetes; Phaffomycetales; Wickerhamomycetaceae. The record is from RNAcentral.